GCGCAGCAGUCGCGAAUACUCCACACUGUGCGAAAGCACAAUGAGGGAAUCCCAAGUGCUUGCACGUAAGUGUAAGCUGUUUCUCUGUUUAAAACGCAGAGAGAGUAAGGGCUGGGUAAGACGGGUGCCAGCCGCCGCGGUAAUACCUGCAGCUCAAGUGGUGACCGUUAUUAUUGGGCCUAAAACGUCCGUAGCCGGUUUAAUAAAUGCCUGGGUAAAUCGUGUAGCUUAACUAUACGAAUUCCGGGUAGACUGUUAAACUCGAGACCGGGAGAAGUUAGAGGUACUCCUGGGGUAGAGGUGAAAAUUCUGUAAUCCUAGGGGGACCACCAGUGGCGAAGGCGUCUAACUAGAACGGGUCUGACGGUGAGGGACGAAGCCCUGGGGCGCAAAC
RNAcentral lists this ribosomal RNA (394 nucleotides) under uncultured microorganism. RNAcentral's name for it is "bacterial SSU rRNA". It matches the Rfam family "Archaeal small subunit ribosomal RNA", at positions 330 to 724 of the family's 1478-position model. The record is from RNAcentral.